GUUUGGCGCAAUAGAAAAGCAAAGUUGAUUGGUGAAUCUGCCUUCAAGACCUCUAUGGAUAUAGACAAUGGCAACGAAAGACAUGCUAUGAUCGAAAAGUUUGAUCAUAAGAGAAAGGCAAUGUCUGAAGUAGUUCCAUGUCAUGUUCCAAAAGAGUCAAUUUGCUUUUAUUGCCAAGAGAAAGGGCAUUGGAGACGAAGCUGCCCCAUUUACCUAAGAGAUCUAAGAGAUGGGAGAGUCGAAACGUAUGGCUCUAAUAUAGGUAAAAUCCAUUAACUAACUCUUUUAAGCUUCUAUUCUAGAUUCUUAAUACAUAAUGUGAUAAGAUUACAAUUGAUGUUUUGUAGGAUCGAAGAAAAGAAAGGAAGCUUAAGGGAAGAAGUGAGCAGAAUCUAACCGUGAAGGAAUGGAUUUCGAUCGCAUUUCUCGAAGAUUAGAUUCUUGAGCUACUACUUAGAGUUAGAAUUAGAUUGCUAAGAAAGAUGUAUUAGCAUAGUUUUUCAAUGAAUUGCAUUGUAAGGACAAAUUUUUUCCGCAAUAAAAUAAAUUUUGAUUUUAUAUUAUUUAUUUAUCCUUGCAAUGGCGUAUAUGAAAAAUUGAUGUUUGAAUGUUUCUAUUAUUAGCAAUAAUGGAUUUGGUUCUUAUUAUGUUAUUUAUGGAAAGUCGAGAGUUUACCAAAUAGGGAGAGUUUCUCAUCGCCCAAGUUUCAAUUGGACAGAAACUUGGAAUCAUGCAACUUGGUUGCACGAUGAAUGAGAAAUUUCAUAUUUGGAAAUUAGACUAAUUCAUUGACAAAGUGUCAAGUGAAGGACUAGGAGAUCGAGUACACAAAGUUGCGUGUUGAUCAAGUCCACCAUAAGAGUAACAAAGAUAUUCGUCAUGAUUUACUAAAGGUUUAGUAAAUAUGAUUAUACUUAUAAGAUUAAGUGUAAUUCUGAAUUGAUUGAAAAAGUUUAAAUCAAUAGCAGAACGAAUAAGAAGAAUCAAGUAGGCAGAAAGAUAAAAGUUUCUCCAUUCUAAGAAGAAGGGAGAGUACCUUUUAUGCUUUAUGAUAGGUCUUAAUGAUUAAGAACCAUAUCUCAAUUGAUCCUCUAAGUGAGUCUUAGUACAAUUGUAUGUCUAAGAAGAGGAAUCAAGAAUUGAAGAAAUGGUUAAAUCAAGAAGUCAAUCAUACUUCGUUCCAAAACAAGUCUUAGAGUUAAGAUUGUGACAUUGAGUGAUAAGUAUUAAGAAGGUUUAUAACAUUCAUCAAAUGUGGAAAGUUGUGAUGUCUUGGAUAAGACAAAGACCAACUAGGACCAAUUUAUGAAGUGUUUUGAUAAAAGCUACACUAACUCUUGAAUAUUUGUUUGUCAAGAAAUGUUUAUUGACAAGAGAAUCUUAUAUGUCAAGGAGUCAGUGGGAGUCUUAAUGGUCUUGAAAGGUUUCAAGAACAAAUCAAAUAAACCUUAUCGAUCAUCACUAGCACACGAGUUGAGGUUUACAACCUAUCGUGUUGACAUUAUUUUGUUUCUGUGCCAAUCCAAUCGAGUUAAUUAUGCAUGUGAGUUCUAUGAGUUCUCAUUUUGAACGCAUAAAAGGCAAAGCACCUUAAUCAAUGAAAGGUACAUUGAUAGGAAAGGGUGAGCUGCUUAACUACUUGGAAGACAUGGUGGGCAGCUGUGCUACCAUAAGGCAAGAAAUCAAGAUUAAGAAAGUUCGGUCCAUAUGAGUUUGAAUUUGUCGUAAACUUUGGUUUUAACAAAUUCACAUGGAUAGGAACACAUACACCGUUUAAAUCUAAGUGUCAUAAGAUUUCCUCCUUCAUGAAAAUGAUUGUGAGGAAAUGCUUUCACUAAGAAAGAUUUUAAGAAGAUAGUGAUUGUAAAAUUGCAUUCUCGAAUUCGAUUAUGGUUACGGUAUCCCUUUCCAUAAUUUGAAUUGUGAGGUUUGGCAAUUAGUCUUAAUUGUUUAGACACACAUAUGAACUAUCGAAGGCAAAGGUGUAUAAGUUCAAGAAGCCUUGAUAAAAGAUUAUCAAAGCACUAAGUAUUAGAAACAUGAACUUAAGAAAUUCAAUAAGUAUUGUUUUUCUGAAAGUUAAGAUGUUUAUGAAUACAUGUCGAAGCUAGUGGGAGCAUAAGUGUUAUGUUUUAUAAUAAUCAUCAUGAUAGUGGGAGCAUAAAUGUUAUGAUUGUAUGAUUAUUAAGGCACGUAUUGCAAGUUGGCAAUAUUAAUUAUAGAAAACAAGAGUUAUACCUUGCAAAGUCGUAAGGGUUGUAAAGUUGUUUUGCUAUAAUUAAGGGAGAGAAUAUUAUGCUUCAUUUCAAAUCUAAAGGAUUAGGUUGAGAAAUGUUAAUAAAUUUAGUCAAAGGUACAUAGUGUGUUCUUAAAAUUUCGAUUAUGAUUACGGCAUUCCUCUUCACAAUUCGAAUUUUGAGAACAUAGCAAAUAAAACAUUAUGCGUCGUGUCCCAUACGCUUCGGGUAUAGGAUCGAUUGCAAAUGCUUUAAUGUUUGACCAUUCUAAAAUUUUCCAAAUGUCGAGCGCAUUUAGAGGGAAAAGGGACUAGAAUUGGUUUUGACUAAAAUAAUUAAACAACUAUCAAAGGACAAUCCAAAGUUCGACGAGGAUUGGUCGCUUGUGAGUAGUUGGAAGCAUGGUAUUGGAUGGACCAUAUCGACAUUAUUAUGAAUAGAAAAGAUUCUAUUAAGAAUGAGUUGUCAUAUGGAAAUUAUGGAAAUGUUUCCAUAUUGGAUGGACCAUAUCGACAUCAUUACGAAUAGAUAAGAUUCUAUUAAGAAUGAGUUGUCAUAUGGAAAAUAUGGAAACGUGUCCAUAUUGGGAAUUGAAUAUUGAAAAUCUAUGUCUAGAUUAGAAACUUUUAUGCAAAAGGAUGUUCAAAGGAAUGUACUUUGAGUGAGAGACAUCAUAUCUAAGGAAUUGUCUUGUAACAAUCUCCGAUAGAGGACUUUGUAAUAUCAUUGGCAAUAGUCUUUGUGACUUUGGUGCAGUGACAUUACGAAAGGAUCAUUGCAUAGAAUGUUAGAAUCUAGCAUAUUCUAUAAGUAGCAAGAAUUUGAUAUUCUUUCACUUAUGAAAAAAGAUUUGGAGUUGUGAAAUGAGAAUGAUUGGAAAUGUGUUCAAUGUGAUCUAUUUCACAAAGUAAGAACCAUAGGUAAACAUUGUGUGCAUGCUAGGAGCAUGGGACAAGUGUUGUAAUUCAAGUAAGAAGUUGAUUACCCGAAACGACAAAUAAUGAGUAAUCAAUAUGGUGAUAAAUAAAAGGAGUUUUAUUUAUACUCAAAGGUUUGAGGCCAUAUGGGAUUAGUAUUAUUCUUGUGUUUCACAUUUGCAUGUUUUGACUUCCAGAAUAAUUGAAUUUAUUAAGAAUAAUCGAAUUAUUCGAACGGGCCACAGUCGUUCAUAUGUUGGAAGUAGAUAUGAAUGAAGACUGUCGUGAAUUGGUGUGUGGAUUGUCUAAAAGAGUAUUAGACAUAAGCAAAUGUUUGCUGCAACGUUCAUGAGUGCUUAUGAAUAUGAUUUGAGCAUUGGAUUAAACCCACGCUCACUUGGAUCACUCCAUGAAUUGUAUCACGAGUGAUUGGUGAGACGAUAACAUCUUAUAUUCUUGAAACCGAGAUGUGUGAGUUGUAUCUUGCAAAUCGGUUGCACAUUGAUAAUAUGUAAACGCACUAGUAACUUGGUGUUAUAAAACAUAUUGUUGUGUGUGAUUCGGUGAGUGAGUGCAAGCAAGCAUUGUAUCAAAGUUUAUCCGUUCCUUUUAUCCAAAGUAGGAUAAAAGCGAUAUCUUUGGGCCCCUCGAUGAUUUAGUGAUGACAAACGUAAAUGCUCGGCCGGGCUAGGGCUAAUUUGAUUUGUUCAAUUAGUCAGUCGUCAUAAAUCGGAAAUCGAGAUAUAGUACAAAGAGAAUGAUUUGAAAUCAUAUCUCAUAUGAUAUCUAGAAUGGAGGAAUAUAUGAUCCCUUAUCUAAGGACACGCGUAUCUGAUAGGAUCAGAGUUGACAGCGGCUUUGGAAAGCUACGAUUGCAGAUCAGGAUCUGAAGUCAUACGCAUAAUAGUUAUUAGACUUAUCCAAGUGGGAGACUGUUGGAUUAGUGUCUAAGUCCAUAACUAUUUUGGUAUGUACUUGACCCGAUGGUGCAUGGUCCUUUUGGGUUGCCUUCACCAAAGCAACUUGAUAGGAUGAAUUAUGGAGAGAAAGGAUUAAAUAUGAUUUAUUAAUAUAUUAUGGGAAUAAUAUAUUAAAGGAGAAAUCAUAUUGUUUAAUUAAUAUUAGUCAAUAAUUAAUUGGUUAUUAGUUUUGUGACUAAAAGAGAUUAAUUGAACUUAAGGGACUAGAAUUGUAAUUAUAAGAUAAUUGCAAUUUGGGCCAUGGAUUGCCUUGUAUUAAGGAGUAGACAAAUUCCGUGGCGAAGCCCAUAAGGAAAUCGUCCAAAGCCCUUAAGAAAAGGAGUCUAUGGGUUGCUUAGGGCUUAAGCAUCCAAAUUAGGGUUUCCUUGUUAGAUAACCCUAAUAACCUCACUAUAUAUAGACCCCUUAAGGACCAAAAACGUGGACAAGACUUGUUCUAGGGUUUCACACGUUUUUGGGCAGCCUUCAUCCUCUUGCUUAUGGUGUUUGUGAACCAUUAGAGGAGUGACAUUUGUGACUCUAGGCUUUCUAAAGUCAAUACAAGAAGGAUUUGGGAUUGUUAUUGCUACAUAACAAUCAAGGUAACAUCUUAAACCUAUUCUUAUGUUAAUAUGAUUACUUGUAUGCUAGAAUUAGGGUUUAUAGUCUUGGAUAACUUGCAUAUACAAUAGAGAUACCUAGAUCCAAGCAUUAGGGUUUGUAUGAGCACAUAGGAUGUUCUUAGGACCAAAACCCAUCACAAUGGAGAUAAUCUUUCUAAGUAAUGGUGGAAGUGUUCUUGGAGUUAGCUACAAUUUGUAUUAAAAUCUAGCUAGGAAUAUGAAAAACAAGAAUCUUGGAAAAUGGGGAACGUGAUAUUUGAGACUUGUGAAAUUAUUUGUUAUUGAAGACUUGUGAAAUAGGAAUAUGAAUAUUGUUAUCUUUAGAUUUUUUAUGAGCAGUGUUGUAUAUUUGUUAGGAACAAUGGUGUUGUAUAUGGUUAUAUGUAAUGGUUAUAUGUAAUGUUUAGAUGUUUUUUUAUGUGUAACAAUAUUUUUAAUCACUUAUGAUUAAACAAAACAUAUGAAGUAGUAUCAUACAUACUUAUAAAGCUAGCAUUUUUUCUUGAAUCUCAGGCAUUUAAAACCCCCUUUUUUAACUUUCUCAAACCACAUUCAUUUGAAACCCCCUUUUUUAACUAAUGCAACUCAAAAGUUUUCUUAAUUAUGAUUUAACACUCAAAAGUUUUAUAAUUUUAAUUAGCAUUUAGUGAAAAAUUUACUAUAAAAGGCCAAUCUUUUGUGUCUUUUGUGUUAUAUAAAAUCUUACAUGUAAGAAGGAUUUGAAGAUAUUGUGAUUCAAAAGUUUUCAUAUAGUUGAAGCAUUCACGAUCCAAAUAUGAUGAUUUGAAGAAAUGGGUUAUGUCGCAUCGAUGGUAAUUGUAAUAUGAUUUUUUCUUUCAACCAAAACAAAUGAAGCUUUUCUAUUCUUUCUUUAUAUUCAGUUUCUCAUUUAAUCUUUAUAUGUGAUUUGUGUGUAUUACUCAAUCUUGAAUGUGACUCUCCAAACAUCAAUGUUUUUCUUGGAAUAUCUUUCUAAUUCUUCUUUUUCAAGAAAAAUAUUUUGAUUGCAGGUUAGUGAAGAAUUGUCAUCAAGUUUCUGUGGUUGGAUGGUGUUAGAUGAAGAAAGAAGAUUCAUAAAAUAGAUAUAGGUUUUUUUGUUUGAGCAAAGUUGACGAAUGUUAGUUUUUUCUUUUGAUUUAAAAGUAUGUUUAUGUAGCAUCUUUAUUUAUAUAUUCAACCAUCCAAUGAUCUUAUUUAUUUGAUUAUAGUUUUUCUAUUUUGAUUAUGUUUAUUUCCUAUUAUUUUUUUUUGUUCGGUUAUCCUACACAACAUAUUUUAAAGAUAACAUAAUUUUGAACAUUUGAUAUGUAAUUAUGAUAGACUUAUCAUGAUAUGUUCUUCAUAUGAAAAUAAUUUAUCCAUAUUACUACGACAAGAAUUAUAUAUGACAUUUACAAAAAUAUGUAUAUUAUAUAUGAUUUGUUUAACAUGUAUAUGCACCUAUGUAUGUUAUAAAUUUAUAAUUAAAUAUCUUCAUGUUUGAUAAUUGAAGAGAUUCNAGAGUUUUUAACUUAUGAUUAUUAAUUAGUAAUCACUAAUAACUUUUUAUUUUCCUUUCUUUUAUAAGGUUGUAAAGUUUUGCUCAUUAAAAACAUUAAUGUAUUUGAAGAGAUUUGUGAUUUAACUAUGAAGAGUUAAUAUAAAUGUUAUAAUAGAUGUUUUAGUGUUUUUAUGUUAUUAAAAGUUAUAGUGUUUAUUUUUCAUAUUUUUUAUUAUUCGUUCUAUAUAUAUCUUUUUUAAUACAAAUGCUAUAAUAGAUGUUUUUCUAUUUUUAUGUUACUAAAAGUUGCAGUUCAUAUUUUUGUUCAUACGUUUUGUUACCCGUUAUAUUAUCUUUCAUUUGAUAUAUAAUUUACACAAUUUUAAACAGUUUAUAAAAUUAUCAAAUAAUUGUAUAUAUCACAAUGACUUAAAAUUAAAUUAUAAUGUUUAAUAGAACUAAUAUGUUAACUAUAUGUUUGCUUUACUACUAACAUUUUGUUUCAAAGUAGAAAUAUUAAAAAAUAAUUUGGUAAAAGUUAUUAUUAACUAUAUAUUUCUAUUCUCGCGCAACGUGCGGGGAUUCGCCUAGUUACAUAAUAUAUUAUGAUUAUACAGAUGAAUAUUGUAUAUGGUUAUGUGUAAUGAUUACAUGUAUUGAAUAAUAGUUUAUAUGUAAUCUUAAAUGCUUUUAGUAACAUUUAAUAGAAGUUUGGUCAUGAAUGACUAUAUUAUCAAAUCAAAGAAAGAAUUAUCAAUGUAGAUUAAAUCCAAUAGACAAAAUCAUGGUAAAUUCUGUUUUAUAAAAGAGUAAAGUGUACUAAACAAAAAUUAUAUUAUUUUGAAAAAAAAUUCAUGACUUAUUCUUUACUGAUUAAAGCAGUAAAUAUCUAUGUAGCUUUUGAUGAUUGUUCUGCUGCAAGUUUGAUUGGGCAUGUCUGCAAGUUAUGAGGAGCCCUUUCUCCACAUCCUGAGCAUCUUCUUGUUUGCUUGUUUGAAUUUUUAUACACUAUUUCUGUUGCACUUUGAAUUCUACUUUUCUUUUCGCAUCCUUUAUUCCUUUGAACAUUUGGAACAUUGACGUCAAUGUCUUAUGGGAUAGAUAUGCCCAUAAGAUUUCCUACCUCUUCAACAUCUGUCCUAUUCUUCUUCAAUUCAUUUGUAGGAUCGUUUUCAUAUUCCUUCAGCAUUCUUUCUUUUUCCUUAACAAACAAAUCCAUUUUUUCUUCAUUUUUUUCUUAUGUAUUCCAAACAUGCUUCAAAGUUGUAGUAUGCUUGAUUUACAGAUCUGUUAAUUUCACUGUCUCCUGUAUCAUAUACAUGUCUACCAAAAUUAUAAUUCCUUGAUAUCACAUCAUUUCUCCAACGAUUCUCAAUGUACUUUUCAGGUAUCUCCUUAAUUCCAUGUUUCGUGAGUAUGUUGAAUGCAUGUCUAAACAAAGUCCCAAAGCGGUUGAAGUGUUCACAAGUACAUUUUACAUCAUUUGUUGGAAGUUUUAUUUCCACAUAUUCAAAAUAAAAUUAAAGCAUUAAGUGUUUUAUAAUCAAAACUGAAUAUUUUUUUAUAUUGUGUGCUGAUUCAACAAAAUUUAAAAUAAUAAUAUAUUACCUCAAAUUCUUUUUUUAGAUCACUGUUUUUGUUGAGUUGUUCCACUUUAUAUAACUCCUAUCAAUUUUUUGUUCCAAGAUGUUCGUAUUGGAAGUACCAGGAACCUUUAUAGACUUCUUUCUAUACUUCAUAAAAACAAUGUACUUGUACAAACUUUUGCAGCAUGUUUUUCUAUUGGUCGUGGUGAAAUAAAUUUAUAUACCGCCUUCUUUGAUUGAUGAUCAAGCUCUUGUUGUGUAUUUCUUUAUUUUUGAAUUAUUGUGUCAUAGUUCAUCAUGAAAUGUAAAAGUAAAUUUCCAAAUUAAGAGUAAGUGUUGAAGAAGGAAUUCAUGCUUUCUAAUCUAGAAGUGGUUUUCAUCAAUCCAGACAUUCUUGUGUCACUGAAGUAUGCAGGUAUCCAUUUGUCACGUAAUUCAAACAUAUCCUUGAAGCAUCUUUUAUCUUCCAGAUUAAAUUCAUUAAUAAUCAAAUCCCACUUCUUUUCAAAUUCAUCAGGUUUGAUAUGUAUGUUCCAAACAAGCUUGUUAAAUCUUUUCUUGAAGUCUUUGUUUUUAAAUAAAUCGCCAGUAACCUAUGAAUGAACAAUUUUGCUUAUAUAAGUAUAAUUUAUAUACCUAUUUGGAUACAUCAUAUAUGAGUAAUCAUAUAUGAUUAAUCACAUAUUAUUACUGUAAUGUAGGAAAUAUCAUGUAUGAUUAAUCAUAUAUCAUAUAUGAUUAUAUAAUAAUAUAUGAUUAAUCAUAUAUCAUAUUUGAGUUACUCAUAUAUGAUAUAUGAUUAAUCAUAUAUGAUUAUAUAAUCAUAUAUGAUGAAUCAUAUAUGAUUACUAUAAUGUAGGAUAUAUCAUAUAUGAUUAAUCAUAUAUCAUAUAUGUAAUGUAAUCAUAUAUGAUUAUAUAAUCAUAUAUGUCACACCCCGAAAACCGAAGGCGGAAAUGUUUCCGGGGCGGACUCCACGUUGAGUAUCAAAUCCAAUGCACAUAGUAAGUAAAGUAAUCAACCAUUACAUUACAUAUAAUAAAGUUUACAUUUGUUUGAAAGUGAAGUUGUACAGGUGUGAUACAUAGUAUAUAUGAACAAAAGUAAGACGAGUCUUCAACACACUCCGUCUUUGCAAAAAGGAAUCAUCGGGUACCUGUCUAAUACGGACCUGAGAAUACAAGCAGUUUGAAAAUCAGCAUAAUGCUGGUGAGUUCAUAAGCGGUUUUGUUUUGUGGAAAAGUGUACAAGUUUCCUUUCCGUUUCUGAAAAUGUUACACAUACCAAGAAAAUCCCAUAUUUUCUUAAACGGUUAGUUAUGGAUUCCCAAAAUGUAAUGUAAAGUUGUACACUGAAAACAUGUUUACCCUUAUUAAUGUAUGUUAUUUGGUUUGUUACACUUUUCUAGUUAUGUACAAUGUUCCCCAGGAAAAUCCCAUAUUUUCCUGAAUGUUGGUUACCAAAUGUGAAAGAUGUAUUCUGAAAACCUGGUUAUCUUGUGAAAUGUAUUAGUUUUAACACGUAUAUAAAACUAAUAUUUACUAAAUAAGUUCAUUACUUUAUUCAUUAUUACUAUUAAGUAAAUUUCUGUUAUCCUAAUUGCGAGUUCCAUAACCAUACGAUAGACUAGAUAUGGCAAUAAGUAGUCCACAUCACCUUAUGACUUUCAUCACCUUGAACCAUUUCGAUUCGGCUGUAGCUAGCAGCCAGUUGUGGGGUAGUCAGCCUCGUAUAGAUCUAUACACUCAAGUCACGCUCCCUAUCUAAGAGAUUCUGGUUACGGGUGCAGUCCUCUACUCGCGUAUCUCUGUGGAGUGUUCGCCGAGGACGUGUCUCCAAUUAUAUAGGACUAACAAAUUUACUAGUAAUAAUAUGAUAAUCCUCCACUUGCAUAUCUCUAUGGAGUGUUACCGAGGACAAAACAGUGUACGAAGUGUUAUGUUCAAAGGUUCUAAUGUCAUGCUUUUAACUGAUAAAAUGUGGAAAACGAUUUGUGAAAUAAAUAAAACAUAAUAGUUUACAACUAAUUUCACAAAUGAUGUAUAUGAUUACCAUGCAAGUUUCAAACAGUUAUCAGUUGUGGUUAUCAGUGUUAAAAGCAUAUAAGUUUUGAAACAUACACAUGUAAAACAAGUUUUAAGUACAAUUUUCCAUUGUACUUUGCUUGUAUCCCCCCUAAAAACAGUGAAAAAGGGUAGGGGUAUGAACUCACCGCUUAAUGUAGAGUUCGAGUGUCAACGGAUGCCCUAAACUCCUAUGGCCCCUAUUUUUCAUGUGACGACACAUAAAUGAGUUAGAACUAAGGUGUUUCAUGACUAAACAUGAUGGGAAAACAUCCUUAGGGCUUGGAAUUACUAAGAAUAAGUGUCCUAUGAUCCAAACUUAAUUAUUUAUGCAAGUUUAGGGCCAAAUAUGGGUAUCAGAGUGGGUGUAUGGUCUUGAAAAUGAGUGUGCGGCCAGGAGUGUGUGUGAGGCAACACACAAGAGUGUGCGGCCGUACAGAGGGUGUGUGCGGCCGUACACUCCUCAUUUGAGUCCAUAUGUUGAUUUUCGAAGUGUAUGCUCUUCAUACUUGGGAGUUUUGAAUGUGUGUUGCCCCCAUAUGAAGGUGUGCGGCCGUACACCUUCAUGGGAUGAUGAAUAUGAUGAACAUAAUAAGUUUUAAGCUUGGGAUCCAAGUGUUUACCACUAUACUUAGCUUGAAGAUGGAGUAGAUCACGAUUAUGAAGCCUUCCAAGUGUUCUUGGUUGAUGAUUUAGAGAGAGAAAGUAGAGAGAGGGAAGAGAAACAUCUAAAUGAAUGAAUGAAGGGGGUAUCCAUCCAUAAAUUGAAUUGGGUGUGAGGUUGAGGGUGUUUGCAGUUGGGUGUUUGGUCGUACACAUAGGUGUGUGGCCGCACACACAAGUGUGUGGCCUCACACAUACCUUAUUUAGUGAGCUUGGCCCGAUAUUGUGAUACUAAACACUCUCCAACCCUUCCUAAGACUCAUAUCUUAGAUUAUACUAAGUCUAGAGAACUCAAUGAAACCACAAGAUUUGAUAAAAGACAAUGAACUCAAGUUUUAGUGCUAGAUCAAUUACAUGGGUUAGAAGUUUCGGGUUGUCACAAUGUAUGAUUAAUCAUAUAUAAUAUAUGAUUAAUCAUAUAUGAUUACUGUGAUGUAGGAUAUAUCAUGUGUGAUUAAUCAUAUAUCAUAUAUGUACUAUAAUGUAGGGUUGAUCAUAUAUGAUUAAUCAUAUAUGAUUAUGAAAUCGUAUUAUAUAAUCAUAUAUGAUUAUAUAUGAUUAUAUAUUGUAUCAUCAUAAUCAUAGUAUGAUAUAUAUGAUAACUUAUAUUAUUAUAAUCAUAUAUGAUUAAUCAUAUAUAAUCAUAUAUGAUUAUAUAAUCAUAUUAUUAAAAUACUUAAUUAUAUAUAUCAUUAUAUCAAUCAUAUAUGAUUAACUAUUUUAAUAAUAUGAUUAUAUAAUCAUAUAUGAUUAUAUACUAUAUUAUCAUAUUACAUACUAUGUAAUCGUAUAUGUUUAUACAGUACGAUAUCUAAUAAUUCAUAUUAUUAGAAUAGUUAAUCACAUAUGAUUAAUCAUAUAUGGUUAUAUAGUAUGAUAUGUAAUAAGUCAUAUAUGAAUCAUCUUUCACAAUACUAUAUAAUCAUAUAUGAUUAUAUAAUGUAUUUUUAUUAUACCUUUGCUUGUAGUUUUUUCAUUAUGUGCGACAUGCAUAGUCUGUGUCUUGAAUUUGUUAAGACAGAUUCCACUGCUUGUUUUAUUGAUGCAUCUUUAUCAGUUAGAACAAUUUUUGGUGCUUUCCCUUCAUGUUCUCUAAGAAAAGCUAUAAGCAGCCAUUCAUACAACUCAAUUGUCUCUCUACUCAGCAACCAAGCACCAAUAAUAACUGAUUUCUUGUGGUGGUCAACUGUUGUGAAUGGAACAAAUACCAUUUUAUACCUAUAUAAAGAAAAUGUGUUUAGUACAAUCAUAUAUGAUUAAAAGUAUGUUUGAAUUUGUAGACAUUAACUUAUUUCUUUGUUCUAAAAGUUGCAUCAAAAAAUAUAACUUCUCCAAACUCUGAAAAAAAAUCCUUUUCUCUUUCAUCUGCCCAAAACAGAGUAGCCAACAGAUCUCCAUCACGUAGGAACUCAAAUGAAUAAUUUGGGUAAUGAUCUCUACGAUCAUUCAUUUCGUUUAUCAUUAUUUGAGCAUCCUUGUAACAUAAGAUUCUAUCUACUCCCUUACUCAAGUUUUUAUAGUAUGCUACCUUCACCCCAACAUAUUCACAUCCUCCUUUCAAAACUGCUCGUAUUUUGUGAGCCAUUGUGGGACCAAUUUUAGCUUUUGAUGCAUGUACUACAAACUCUUUUUCAGAAUAUGACAUCUUUCUUGCCUUUUCGUAUAAGGUCUUUCCUCAAUACUUUCUAGUGGGUGGUUGUGCAUUUUAAAGAAUUUCUUAACUUUGUAAUAUGUUGUUCCAUAAACAUUUUCAAAUAUAAUCUUUGUUGUACACCCAGUAAUUAUCUUGUUUGAAUUUGGUUUCCUCUUGACAGAACUUGUAGCCAAUGUAUCACAAGGUUUUGGUUUAUCCUUGCCACCCCUAUUUCAUAUAACAUAUUUUUCUUUUAUUAUUUGGCUAUUGUAUUUUGAUUGGCUACUCAGUCUUGUAUGAAAACCUGUCAUUUCUGGAUAAUCCGUAUACAUUUUUACUGCCAAAUUUAGUGAUUUGAAAACACUCUUUACAACUGGUACAAAUUGUGUACGGACAUCUGGUUUAUAUUCAGACUCUUCAAUUAUGUUACUGCAAUAUGAUUCAUUUGUUGAAUUGGAACUUUCACCUGAUAAAAAAAGGGAAUGACAAAUAUGUUAUUAUAUAAUUUUAUGUUGUAAUAAUCAUAUGUGAUUAACGAUAUGUAUUUAUAUUUUAGUAUAAAAACUCAUAUAUGAUUUUAGACAUUAAUAUAUUAUUAGAUGUGAACUCAUAUUUAUUUGUACAUUGUAUUAUAUGAUCGAUCAUAUAACAUACUGUGUAAUCAUAAAUGAUUAUACGUAUUAGUUUGUAAAUAAUCAUACUUAUAUUGUUUGAUCAUUUAUGAUUAAUCAUAUGUAUUUGUAGGUUGUAAUAUAUGAUUAAUCCUAUUUUAUGAUGUAUUAUCAUAUAUAAUUAUUCAUCGAAAUGUAAUAUUAAUAUAGAUUUCAAUUUGAAAACAUAUAUGAUAAAUCAUAAUUAAAAACUAUACAUACAUAUGAUUAAUUUUAGAUAUGAACAAUCAUAUAUGAUUAUUCAUCCUUAUAUGAUUAAAUAACAUAUUGUAUUGUAUAAUCAUAUAUGAUUAUUCAUAAUUUAUAAUAUAUAAUAAAAGAAUCAGAAUAAAGUGUAGAAACUGUAAUGUAAUAUGUAGUAUUAAAACGAAUUAGUUGUACCUUCAAUACGAAUCGUAUUUUGAAGUUCCUCAGAAGUGAAAGAAAUUGAAUCGAUUUGUUCGUCGUUACGAGAUGAAUUGAUUUAGGCUAUAAUAGUAUUAGUUGAGAUCGACUUGCCAAUUUCUUUUGGAUUCGACAUCAUUUAUGAAAAUUGAUUUUGAUUCAAUUUUCAAAUGAAUUGUUUACGAUUGCGAGGUGCUUGUUUCUUCAAUUUGAGAUUUGUAUAUCGUAUUUAUGAGGAUAUGAACUGAUGCUUUGUUUCGUUCGUUUUUUUCAAUUUGAAGAUUGCGAAUAAUUUGAUAACAUAUUCAGUAAUAAUAGAAUCUUUUUUAUUAUAUUGAAUGAUUUGUACAUUGUAUUUUAUUACAAUAGUAUUAUUUUUUACCGGGCACUGACACACGCUUUCUUUACAAUUUAUUUAUUUAUUUUAAAAAAUCAUCAUUUUAAAUAGUAAAAACAUAAAAUUUUGUUACUUCAAAUUAAAAAAGAAAAUAUUACAUUGCAUUACUUAAAAAAACACAACAUAACAUUAAAAAAACACAUCAAAAAUAAAUUGAAAUUCUUCAAAAGACGAAGAUGAUGAUAUUUUCUAUUGAUUAUGAAAGAAAAAUCAUUAUAAAGAUAUAAAAAUUUGGUUUUGAUUUGAAGAAAUAAGGAUGAAAAGGUUUAUUUUAUAGGUAAAAAAACAAAAAAUUAAAAACUAUAUAUAACGAAUGUUAAAACCAUUCAAUGGUUAAUUUUCUUCCCCACCAAUCAACAAUCUGUGAUAUUAAAGGGGAGAGGUGCGGCCAAAUUGUACUUAAUACCGCAUAGAGGAGGUGCACCUAGCCACCUGCCUAUGUAACAUUAUGUGCGGAAAAACCGCAUGUCACUAGUUAUAUAUCAUUACAUGAGAUACACCAAAGGAUUUUAUAUAUACACUCCAUACUAUUACACACCAUCCUAUUUUAACUAGUAUUGACUUUUUACUAUAGGUUUGUUAGCUUUUAUUAAGAAGCAUGAGUAACUUAUUUGAAGAAAAAAAGCCACGCUUCCCUUUCCUUUUUUUGAACGGCAUGCAUAAAUUAAAAGAAAACUAGCUAGGGGCUAGGAGGUACAAAGUGUUCCAAAAACAACAAACAACAUAAGACAGCAAAGGAAAGGAAAGAAGAGAAAAGGAGAAAAAGCCACAUUCUACAAUAGCACUCCAAGAUUGGGUCACAACACCACUCGAUCCAUCGAAGAUUUUGUCCUUUCCGACUCCGCGUAUUGAUCCAAAGGUGCGAAUGAGCUUGUACCUCAUAUGCUAGUGCCGAUUUUGAUAAGGAGUUUGUAUUCAAAUGAGUCUCUGAAUCUCCAGAUUACCCAUAAGAAGACCAAUAUUAUAGCCUUUUGAACCACCUUCAGCCUUUGAUGUCCACCUAGCAAGUUCUUACAAUCUAACAACUCUUGACAAGAGUUAGGAGAUAGAUCUAGUAACCUCCACCAGCUACAAACCUACAACCAAACUUCCUUUGAGAUCUGGCAACCCACAAAGAUGUGAUCUAUCGUUUCUGGGGCUUCAAGGAACAUCGGACACAGGUCUGAAGAGCUGAUGCCGAACUUAAAUAGGUUCCCCAUGCAUGGAAGUCUACCAUGGCAGACUCGUCAAGCAAGAAUGUUUAAUUUUUCCGGCACCAGUGGGUUCCAUAUCCAUCUUUCAUUACUAUGAGGCAGGGCCAGAUUAUCGAUAUGAUUCCGUAAUGAAGAAACAGAAUAUUCCCCCAAGGGAUCAAGCGACCAUGACCAUUUAUAUGUACCAUCUACAUUUAAAGUGUUCCGGAAGUAGUUUAAAAAAUGCACCUGUUCCUUUUCUAACAUUUUUGGCAGGCCUGCAAUUGUACCCCAACAACUGCUUCUUCUUUUUGCUGUCAUUGGGCGUGACACUCCUCCAUCGAGGCCAUGAAUGGCUUUAAUCACCAAAGCCCAUAUGCUUUCAGGCUGAUGUCUGAAACGCCACCACCAUUUUCCCAAAAGAUCAAGAUUUUGUGCCUUUAGGCUGCCAACACCGAGCCCACCUCUUUGUUUAGCUGCGAGGAUCAUGUCCCAUGCGACCUAUGCCAUUUUCUUUGAUUCCAUGCAACCUCCCCAAAAAACCUCAUCCGAAUUCUUUCAAGAAUUUUAAUCACCCUUGCAGGGGCCUUGUAUAUAGAGAAGUAGAAUGAGCUAAGGCUACUUAGAACAGCUUUGCAUAGGGUCAAUCUACCCCCGAACGACAAGGUGGAAGCUUUCCAUCGAGAUAAUUUCGCCUGAAAUUUUUCAAUGAUCGGUUUCCAAUUUGAUUCUCGAGCCAUAGAAGCACCUACUGGAAGACCAAGGUAGGAAAAUGGGAGAGAGCCAAUCGAACAAUUGAAGCUACGGGCCACUAAUUCUAGCUCACAAUUUUGUACACCAAACCCAUACAAUUUGCUUUUUGACAUAUUAAUCGUAAGCCCCGAUGACAGUUCAAAACAUCUUAGAAUUCUGAUCAGGUUUUUCGUGCUUUCCAAUGACCGUGAUCCCAUAAAUGUUACGUCAUCAGCGUAUUGGAGGUGGGAGAUUAUUGGGCCACGGUGAGGGAGCUGGAUUCCUUUAAAAACUCCCUUUUCUUUCGCCAAUUCUAAUGCAACAUGAAGUUCUUCAGCUGCGAUGAUGAACAAGAACGGGGAUAAUGGAUCCCCCUGCCGAACACCACGCUUCCCUUUCCUUUUUUUUCUUUUUGCAUCCAUGCGGCACUAACUUUUUGUUCUUUAAUGUCAACUUAUUUUUGUAGAUUUUUUAAAGAUAUUACUUCUUUUCCUAUUUAAAAAUAUGUCAAAACCCAUAUGUUUUAAUAACGUUUACCGAUAAUAGACACGGAUAUUUUUUUGUUGCUAGUCACGCACGAUCAAAACUCAUAUGUUUGAUCUAUUAAUAAAAGAUAUACUGUUAUAUCUAUUACUAGUUUAUAACCCGUGGGAACUACGGUUAUAAAAUAAUUUAAAUUUUCAUAGUAAAAAUUCAUAAAUUAUUUAACAAUUACUUUAAAUAAAUCAUUAAUUAUGAGAUAUACCAAAUUUUUAAAGUUAUUAUAACUUUAAAUUUAACAUAUAAUUAAAAAAAGUAAAUUUGAAUUUUAAAGUGUUGCCUAAUAUAUAUCUCUUUGACAUGUGAUAUUGUAUUAAUCAAGAGUUGUAUUAAAGUAACACAUGUCAAAUGGAGAUUAAAACUAUUCAUUUAUUAGAAUAGAGAUUAGUUAUAUUUAAAAUAAAGUUUUCCAUUUAAUUUUCUUAUUUUAUAGGUAUUUAGAUCUUAACUUCUGUUGCUUUCGAUUUUAUGUUUUAAUCAUUGUGUUGUAAUCCGUUGGUUCAUGCUUGUUUUUUUUAUGUCGAUUUCGAUGUAUACAACAACUACCAUUUUAAUUCGAUUCGUAAUCAGUGUUCUCUACUAAAUUCGAUUCCUAAUCAAUGUUCUCUUCUUGAUAUGUGUGAUGGUACAGUUUAAUAUGUUAAAUAAAAACACGUCGCCGCCAAGAAAAGUAGCCAUCUGAUAUUUGUUGGCGUAUUAUUUGUCCAAAGAGAUUUAAUAUCUUCCAUGCAUAUAUACGUUAUUGUAAAAUUCAUGGUAGAUUUAAUAUCUUCAGGUAGAAAACAUGGAGUUCUCUCUCCCGUUUUCAACGAGCAUAGCAACAGUCUUUUUUGUUGUUUUUCUAUAUGUAUACUAGGUUUCUUUGUUUAUAUAUCUUCGAUUUACCUCGUAACUUGACGUGGCCAUAGUUAUUGUGGGGGUGUAUGGACCACAUGUGAAAGUGGGUGACACUUUAAAUAUUACAUAAAAAAAAUAUUAUUAAAAAAUUAGAACAUGGCCCUCAAUUAUAUGACUUAACGAUUUUUAUCAGUCUUCUUUGUCUUCUAACCUAACCGCCAGCUCUUCUUUCACUGCCCUGGCUCACCAUUUUUGCAAAGGCAAACUCAGUUUAUAUUUGUUGACUAAUUAAUUUAGCUGAUGCUAAGGUAAUUAUCAGUAAUUGAGAUUAUUAAUUGAUAUUUUUACCUUUUAGGUACCUUAUAAAUACCUACCAUUUUAUAAAAAAUUUCACACAAUUUCUCUUCUCUCUACGUACUUUCAAUUGUCUUCAAAAAAAAAUAUGGGCCCUUUUGACUCGUCCGAUGAUUCAGAUGACGAUAUUUUCUUCAGGAUGAUGUAUCAUUAUUACACUACCGACCUGCUAUAACCAGACUCAGCCCCAUUACUAACAAGACGUGUGAUGUUAAACAAAAAUCGCGAGCAAGGACACGAAAUCUAUAUCGUGAUUAUUUUGCGGAAAAUUGUGUAUACGGGUCGAAUGACUUCAAAAGAAGAUUCCGUUUGAGUAGCAAUGUGUUCCUACGGAUCGCCAACGCCUUGGAAAGCCGACAUCGCUUCUUUAGUAUACUUUUAUACAAAAUAAAUAAAAAUCAAGUACAUGUUUCUUUAAUUUUACAGCAUAUGCAAUAUAUUUUUAAACUGUAGUUAAUUUAUGUUUAGGUAUGAAUUUUUUUAAUUGAGAUAUGAUGCUAGAGGUAGAUGAGGGUUUAUAAUGUUAUAGAAAUGUGUUGCGGCCAUUCUUUGAUGGCUAUAUGGGAGUCACCCGACACCAUGGACGACUAUAUGAGAAUGUUCGAAAGAACCGCAAGGGAGAGUUUGUAUACAUUGUCAAGGGGUGUUGUCGAAACAUUUGGAGACGUGUAUUUGCGGAAACCUUCGUUGCAUGAUUUGCAAGAAUUGUAUAUGGUGCAGGAAGAACGCCAUAGGCUUCCUAGAAUGAUCGGAAGCAUUGAUUGCACACACUAAAAAUGGAAAAAUUGUCCGGUAGCAUGGAAAGGGGAAUACACAAGUGAUCAUCACGGAUCACCUUCAUUGGUUUUAGAGGCUGUUGCUUCUCAAGAUUUAUGGAUUUGGCAUGCAUUUUUUGGGGUUGCUGGUUCCAACAACGACAUCAACGUUCUUGAUCAGUUGUCAAUAUUCGAAGAUCUUUUGAAUGGAAAGGACUCGGAUGCUCCUUUCACGAUGAAUGGAAACGAAUACAAAUAUGGGUAUUACCUUACAGAUGGAUUAUAUCCUCAGUAUUCCACAUUCGUGAAGGAAUUCCGCCACCCGGUUGAAGAACGAGAAAUUUUUUUAAAGAGAAGACAAGAAAGAGCACAUAAGGAUGUGGAACGUACUUUUGGAGUGUUGAGGCAAAGUGGUAUAUAGUUUAACAUGCAGCACGACCAUUGGAUUUAGAAACUCUACGAUAUAUCGUGUAUGCAUGUAUCAUAAUGCAUAACAUGGUAGUAGAAGAUAAAUGGCGAAAUAUUGCACACUAUAUUCCAACUGAGCCCAGACACGUUCAGUUUCAACCAGGAACAGCAGAGUAUUUGCAUCGAGUUGUUGACAUUCAGGACGCAAAUAAACACAGACAAUUUCGAGAAGACUUGGCAGAUUAUGUCUUCUAUGGUAACAAUAACGAUAACGAAUAGCGUUUAGUUUUAAAAAAUAUAUAUAUAUAUAUUUUUUAAAGAAUAGCGUUGUAUUUUUUUUGGAAUUUGGAUGUUAUGUGUAAUUUAAUUUCUAUGUUAAUUUUAAUCUUUAAAAAUUGUUUUUAUUAUAUGUUAUUUAUAAUUUUUAAACAUUAUGUUUUAUUUAUUAUGUUAUAUUUAAAAAAUAUUUGUCUAAAUUAAAAAAAAAAUUCGAAAAAAAAAUUAUAAAAUGGAAAAAAGUUGGUGUUAUAACAAGAUGCAACAUGGUGACCAUUUCCCUAUUUAGUAUUAUAACACCAUUGGUGAUGUAGCAUGUGAGGUGGCACCAAAAUGAUGUGACAUCUAGUUGCUCACACUCAAUACUCUUAUUGUUAUAUGCUAACCCACCCACAAGAAACCAUGGUUUUGGUUGUUUGCAUUUUACAUUGUUAAUUGUUAGCUUUUUUAUGAUUAUUUAAUUUAUUAUUGUUGCUAGGUUUUAAUUGGUAAUGCCUGGAGUUCUGCUUCAUAUCUCUGGAAUGAUUAGCGUGAAAUGACGUACCAUUAUUCAAGACCCAGGAUUCUAUUGCGUUUACAACCGAAUAAAUGAGCAUGUCAUCUUUAUAAUUUUCCUCUAUAUUCAUCCCCUUGUGGCCUUUAUAAGCCAUGCGCAUUGCAUACUAGUUUUCGACAUGAUCAUUCUCUAUGCAGUUCCAACAGGUCACGUCCCUCAUGAUGUUCUAUCCACCUCUCCUUCUCGAUUUUUAUCUUCCACUACCCCCCCCACAUCUUCUAUUGGACCCCAUUCCCCUAUUGGAUGCUUCUCUAGCAUUUCGCCUGCAUACAUCCUCACCAAGGAUUAAAUCGUCUAUGCUUUCGAAUGGGUUAAACCUCCGUGUCUCCUUGAGAGCCAUACCGGGGAUGCUCAUCAAUAAUAUCCUAGUGAUUACAUGUGACGACUCAUCUAAUUCCUAAUGCGAUGCUCCAGUUGUCACCCUUGACGGUAUCAGAACAUCUUUUCGUAGUCAGAACUCUAGUAGAUAGACAAUGAAGAGGUAUUGAGGUAAUAUUGAUAUUAUUGUUGACUUAAGAUUAUUACUACUGGCUCUCUAGUUGCUAACCUUAUGUCCAAAAUCAGUAUCUAUUGAGGUAUCCUCUUUCAUAGUGCUACGUGAAUUGUUUAUAUAGCGUCUAGGGAUAUAAUCUAAAUGGUUAGCCUAGCAUUUGAUAAGGGGAUAAAAUGUAUCUAAAUGCAUUUAUUGUGAUAAAAGUGUACUUAAUUUCCAUGUGUACCUAAAUGAAUGUGUAUCAUAUGCAAUGCCCAUACACACACAAUUUUUUUUUAUUUUAAAAGGUUUAAGUUGAAAAUCAUUUUGAACAUAAUUAUAAUAAAAUCGUUUCUAGUUUAACAUUAAUUUUCUUUAAUUAAGCAUAUGUGGCCAGGAAAUACCUAAUUAAAGUCCAAUAAUGCUUACUCGACUUAGUCAUAGCAGUUGUAUGUUAGUAUUUUGAAAUACAUUUUGAAUUUUUUUUGCUAUAGUUUGUGUUAUUCAAAGGAAAACCAAUAUUUUAUAUAACUGUCAGCUCUGAUACCAUUCUCUGUCACAUCCUGCUGAAGCGGAAACAUUGGACACAACAGUACAAAGGGUCUCAUAGAAAAAAUUAAAAGAAAACACCAACCAUAGUAUUAAAAAACAUUGCAAUUUACAAUGACUUUGAACAACUUUUGAAAGAAACUAUGCAACACUCAAAAGUUUUAACCAAUAGAAACUUAAUGUCACAUUUCUCAAAACCACAAUUGUCUCAAAUGUCAAACACAAUUCAACAAAAUAACUGAUAGUAUCCCAGAAUCCUCAAACAUAGCCUCGAACAAGUGUGUACAAUCAAGUCGACGUCUUCCCGCGAUCCUAAGAAGUACCUGAAACACAUAAAACACAACACAAUAAGCACGAAGCUUAGUGAGUUCCCCAAAAUACCACAUACAUAAAUAAGAAGCAUCUCAUGGCUAUAACUCGGCUUGGACCCUCCGGUCUCAUGCGUCUCGGUGAGGAUCCUCCGGUCUUACGGCUUGGUGUGGACCCUCCAGUCAUGUGUCUUAGUGAGGAACCUCCGGUCUCACAGAUCAGGUUGGACCCUCCAGUCCUAUAUCUCAGUGAAGACCCUAUGGUCUCACCACUCGGUUUGGACCCUCCGGUCCUAACGCAAUAAAGCACAGAAUAAUAUAACAUAUAUCACAAAGACAAAAUGCAUAAUAUUACAUAACUCAGUAUAAACAGAUAGGACCAUCCGGUCGAUAACUCAAAUAAGACCCUCCGGUCGCACAGUAUUAUCGCUCUGGUAAGUACAGUGAGAAGACUCACAUCGCAAGUAAGCAAGUAGAUUUAGUACCCCACGAAUAGUCUAGACUUCGCGUACAUAAUUUAAUUAUCUCUAAUAAGCAAUAAUAAGCAAUUUGUAUUAACCACUCUGAGAUGCUGAGCUAACUCCUCCACUAAAUCUCAAAAGGGUGAAAAUGUCAUUUUACCCCUCCAUGGUCUCCAAGGUCCACAGUUGACCAAACCCUAAAAGUCAACGCUCAAGUCAACAGUCGAUGUCGACAAAACUUGUCGAGUGCAUUUAUGCGAGUCGUCGAGUUGAUUCGCUUUCUCUGAAGUAUCGGGAAAAUCCAACUCAACUCGUCGAAUUGUCUUAUCAACUCGCCAAGUUGUGGCGCAUCCAGUAUAUCGGCGAAAAACCUAGCUAGCUCAUGCACUCGUCAAGUCCCUCUAGACCAAUUCUCAUUCAGGUGAUUCUAAGCUGAAAUAAUGUCGCAAACUCUAAGUCUAGCCUCCCAAGGCUGAAAUACCAUGUAAAGCUGCAAGCUUUACUUCCAUGCAUGGCAUCUAGAGCUCAAAAUGCCAAAAAAAUCUCUAUAUAGGGUUUAAUGCUUAAAAACAUGCCACCAGCUUGAUAAAGUUUGGAUCUUUGGGCUCAAGGGACUACAUGUGGUGUAGAUCUAAAGUCUCAACUUCCAUGGCAAGCUCAAACACUCUAGAACUCAAAGAAGGACGGAAAAAGCCCUAAAACUCCCUAGAAAGAGAUCUAACAAAAUAAAUGAUCAAUAUGGUAGUUUUUAACCUCUAAACAACAGCUAACACUGAAGAACACUAGAUCCAUAACUCCCUCCUCAUUCCAAACCUUGUUGCUCUCCAACCUCCUUCCAAAAGUGCACAAGAAUACCCAAGUUUAAUCUUUCUCUAUCUUACAACGAAUGAAGCUUGAUUUGGGUUUCUCAUAUAGUCCUAAGGUGAAAAGUGUUGGAUUAGUGUCUAAGUCCAUAACUAUUUUGGUAUGUACUUGAGCCGAUGGUGCAUGGUCCUUUUGGGUUGCCUUCACCAAAGCAACUUGAUAGGAUAAAUUAUGGAGAGAGAGGAUUAAUUAUGAUUUAUUAAUAUAUUAUGAGAAUAAUAUAUUAAAGGAGAAAUCAUAUUGUUUAACUAAUAUUAGUCAAGAAUUAAUAAGAAUUAAGUUUGUGGCUAAAAGACAUUAAUUAAACUUAAGGGACUAGAACUGUCAAUUGUGUGAUAGUUGAAUAUUGGGCUAAGGGACUCCAUAUUAGAGGGGUGGACGAAUUCUAUGGGGAAGCCCAUUAGAAAUCGUCCUAGGCCUUUAAGGAGGGAGUACAUGGGUUGCUUAGGGCUUAAGCACCCAAAUUAGGGUUUCCUUGUUAGAUAACCCUAAUAGCCUCAUUAUUUAAAGGACCCUUGAGCCUCAAAAACGUGGUGACUUGUUCCUUAGGGUUUUCACACGUUUUGGGCAGCCUCCUUUCUCCUUAUUCUUCAUACUCUUGCUCUUGGUGUUUGUGAACCAUUAGAGGACUGAUAUUUGUGACUCUAAGCUUUCUAAAGUCAUUACAAGGAGGAUUUGAGAUUUUUAUUGCUACAUAUCAAUCAAGGUAAUAUCUAAACCCCAGUCAUAAGUUAAUUUGAUUAAUUGUAUGCUAGAUCUAGGGUUUAAAGUCUUGGAAGAAUUACGUGUACAAUAGAGAAACCUAGAUCCAAGCAUUAGGGUUUGUAUGAGCACAUAGUAUGUUCUUAUGGUCGAAACCCAUCAGUGGUAUCAGAGCCUUGAUUGGUUUCUAUUCUAUUGAUUCAUAUUGAUCGAAAUCAGCACUGAAAAUCGAAUUUUUUUGCUUCUGAGUGUUUGACUCGCAUUCACUUGGNUUGGUGAACUCGCCGAGUCAGCUGUACUCGACGAGUCUAGGUCCAGAAUCGACGAGUCAAAGCGUCUGACAGCUCAUAUUCGCGAUUUUCUUCCUGUUUUGGCUUUGGAUAAUUACCAUAAACAUGUUUUUGUUAUAAAAUCCGAAUUUUAUUAAUAUUUGGUGAUUGUCUUUACCAAAAUAGAAGAUAAUUUUCAUAAUUUAGAUAAUCACUUGUUUUAUUAUAUAAAGUUUGAUUAUUUGUAAUUUAGAUUUGAAUUAUCUUGUGAAAAAGUUUCAAAUUUUCCCCUUUAGGUUUUAUAGUUUAAAUUUGAACUUAAAAGUUUUGUUUUUAAAAUUUAAAUAGUUGAAAACCUAGUGUUUUGAAAUGUUUCAAAACAUGCCCUCAAGUUUUUGGAAUUUAAAAGUUUAAUUUGGAAAUGUUAAAUUCUAAAACCAAAAUAUUGUUUUGAAAAGUUCAAAUCACACCCUUAAGGUUUUAUUAAUUAAUUAAAGUGUAUAAUUAAAAGAGGUUUAAUAAAUCCAUAAAGUUUUGGUUCACAAUUUAAUUGAAUUAAAAGUAUAAUUGUUAAAUUUGACCACCUAGUAUUUUAAAAGUGUAAAAUACACCCUAUACUAUAUAUAACAUUAAAAGUCUAACAUUAUAUAUAUGUAUGAGUAAAAGUCAGUCUUACCGUUAGUAGGCCUCAUUCACGAAGCUGGUCUAUAAGGGGUGUUUAAGGAAAUUGCCUAUAAAAUGGCGAUUGAAUGGGUGUCAACUCUUACCCACCGCACUCUUGACUAGUGGAGGGUCGUUAGCCGAACGGGUAGGAUAGGACAGAACCUUCCAUUAUAAGUAUAAUGAAGUAAAAAAGUAACUAAAUGUUUUACAAAUUCCCAAUCUUAGUUACUUUAGGCAAAAGUGAAUUGAUGCAAUUCCAUGAAAUUACACUUUGUACCCUUGCGAAGACGUUAGUGGAGCGUGUGUGGUUAACCGGCACACUAAAUGGUUCUAAGCAAAGGUAGCAAAGGGUGACUCAAUGUUUGUCAUAGUUCGGUGGAGCGUGUGUGGUUUACCGGCACAUCGAAUAGGUGACUGUAACAUGUGAGGGCACCAUGUAAGUUUGCAUGGUUAUUCACACCCGCUUUGUGAUCCUCGGCAUCCCAGUCACAAACAAGAGGGGCAUAUCGAGAUUUAAACAUGCCAUUGAAAGUUCAAUGAAUCUCAAAGGAUCUAGGAGUUUUCAUAGAUUUAAAACUUAAAUUUCUUUUUCGUUUUUCGUGGUGGAAAUUAGUGAAUCGUCAUUCACUUACCUUCAAAUGUUCUGCAAUUAGGGUUACGGCAUCCCUCUCCCGAGUUGUAGAAUAUUGUGUUGGGUCCUAGCCUUAGUAUCUCAUUUGGGUGAUUUACUAAGGACUCAAUCAAUCAACUAACUUGAAUUCGUUUUCUCCCGUUUUGUAGAUGUCAAAGUUCGACAACUAUGGUCUUCCCAAAUCCCGUGGAACAAGCAUUCCACAUGAAGAUGAUAUUCCACGAUUCGAUCGAGGAACAAGAAAUCAUGCUUCACUUCCUCCUCCUCCUCCAAUUAUUCUCCCUAACCCACAAGUUCAAAGGCUUGAAAAGUUCAAGAUCACUCAAGCCCUUUUGGCAAGUAAACAUAAAGAAGGAAAGUCGGUGUGUGCACACGUCCUAGGGAUGAAGUCACACAUUGAUAGGUUAAGAAUGUUGGGAUCCGUUGUCUGUGAGGAGAUGGCUGUUGACCGGGUUCUUCAGUCACUUCCUAACUCGUAUAGUGAGUUCGUAAGAGAGUAAUAUAUGAUGAACCAUGACGUGACCCUCAUCGAUCUCACCUAUAUGCUUAUUGCUGCUGAAUCAACAAUGAUUUGGCGCACUGGAAAAGCAAAGUUGAUUGGUGAAUCUGCCUUCCAGACCUCUAUGGAUAUAGGCAAUGGCAACGAAAGACAUGCCAUGAUCGAAAAGUUUGAUCAUAAGAGAAAGGCAAUGUCUGAAGUAGUUCCAUGUCCUGUUCCAAAAGAGUCAAUUUGCUUUUAUUGCCAAGAGAAGGGGCAUUGGAGAUGAAGCUGCCCUAUUUACCUAAGAGAUCUAAGAGAUGGGAGAGUCAAAACAUAUGGCUCUACUUUAGGUAAAAUCCAUUAACUAACUCUUUUAAGUUCCUAUUCUAGAUUCUUAAUACAUGAUGUAAUAAGAUUACAUUUUGAUGUUUUAUAGGAUCGAAGAAAAGAGAGGAAACUUAAGGGAAGAAGUAAGCGGAAUUUAAUCAUGAAGAAAUGGAUUUCGAUCACAUUACUUGAAGAUUGGGUUCUUGAGCUACUACUUAGAGUUAGAAUAAGAUUGCUAAGAAAUAUGUAUCAACAUAGUUUUUCAAUGAAUUGCAUUGUAAGGACAAAUUUUUCCGCAAUAAAAUAAAUUUUGAUUUUAUAUUAUUUAUUUAUCCUUGCAAUGGCGUGUAUGAAAAAUUGAUGUUUGAAUGUUUCUAUUAUUAGCAAUAAUGGAUUUGAUUCUUAAUUAUGUUGUUUGUGGAAAUGUCGAGAAUUUACCAAAUAGGGAGAGUUUCUCAUCGCCCAAGUUUCAAUUGGACAGAAACUUGGAAUCAUGCAACUU
RNAcentral lists this long non-coding RNA (25472 nucleotides) under Lactuca sativa (garden lettuce). RNAcentral's name for it is "long non-coding RNA (LSAT_LNC004123)". Lineage: Eukaryota; Viridiplantae; Streptophyta; Magnoliopsida; Asterales; Asteraceae. The record is from RNAcentral.